AUUGAACGCUGGCGGCAUGGCUAAAACAUGCAAGUCGAACGCGAAAGGGGGCAACCCCAAGUAGAGUGGCGAAAGGGCGAGGAACAGAUUUCUACGUACCCCAAGGUCGAGGAUAAUCAGGGGAAACUCUGACUAAUACUCGAUGAUGUCGUGAGACCAAAGGCUUGCUGCCUUGGGAGCGGGGAAUCUCCUAUCAGGUUGUUGGUGAGGUAAUGGCUCACCAAGCCGAAGACGGGUAGCGGGUGUGAGAGCACGGCCCGCCGCAUCGGGACUGAGACACUGCCCGGACUCCUACGGGAGGCUGCAGUAACGAAUCUUCCGCAAUGCGCGAAAGCGUGACGGGGCAAUGCCGCGUGCAGGACGAAGCCCUUCGGGGUGUAAACUGCUGUCAGGGUUCACCAACACAAUGAGGAGACCCAAAGGAAGCACCGGCUAACUCUGUG
This 443-nucleotide ribosomal RNA is filed under the name uncultured organism. RNAcentral's name for it is "bacterial SSU rRNA". It matches the Rfam family "Bacterial small subunit ribosomal RNA", at positions 29 to 507 of the family's 1533-position model. The record is from RNAcentral.